CAGCCGCCCCGCGUCCUCCUGGGCAUGAAGAAGCGAGGAUUCGGGGUCGGGCUGUGGAACGGCUUCGGAGGGAAAGUGCAGCCGGGGGAGAGCAUCGAGGAUGCGGCGCGGAGGAAUAUCAACAAGAAUUAGUUCAGGCAUCAGAUUGCAGUACAGCUCUGAAGGAUGGGACCCAUGAAACUGGUGCCAGAGAAAGCUGGAGCCUUAAAGGUCGUUUCCGCUUUGAAACUGAUGGGUUUGUGCCAAAUGUACAGCUAUGAGAUUCAUUAACCUUAUCUGCAGGUAGUUCCAAGUGUGCCGUACCUUUGUACAGUACAAUAACCAGGACAAGUCCCAAGGCCUCUUAGCAGCAGGUUAAAAAACCCCAACAUCAGUGUGUGGGACAGGCAGAAACAGGGACCUGAAGAGCUUCAAGAGGCCACACGUGGUGAGGCCUUGAAAAGAACUGCUUGGGAAUCUCUCCAUUUGCUCUUAAAAGACUCAUCUCCAGCCUCUCUUACACGGACUGUUCUGAGGAGCAGAAACUGAAGGCGUAUGUGACUGUUUUGUGGUUUUCAAACAGCUUUUAACAGUGAGCUCACACACUGUAUAGUAUUACUUAAGUGAGCUUCACUUUCCCUCAGAAGCCGCUGAUUUUUGUAGCAGCAUAAAUGAGAUGAUCUCAUAUUCCUUAUCUGUGUCACCACAGUUAUCAAAGCUUUCGCCUGAAGUUGGCAAAGUCUAGAGCUUGUCUACACAAAGCACGUCUCAAAGUUCACAUGCCACAUCCACCUCCAGCAAUAGCACAUAAGCAUUAACCCAUUGCUAAGUCACAUCAGCAAAGACCAUCCUCAUGCAUGGAAUGAACCUGCCAGGUCAUCUUUGGGGGAGCUCCUGGAAGAGAGUGGGCUGACUGUGGACACCCUGCAGAAGAUGGGUCAGAUCACUUUUGAAUUUGUAGGCAACUCUGAACUCA
This is a non-coding RNA of Coturnix japonica (Japanese quail), 955 nucleotides long. The record is from RefSeq and is a predicted model, not a curated record. Lineage: Eukaryota; Metazoa; Chordata; Aves; Galliformes; Phasianidae.